RNAcentral lists this long non-coding RNA (245 nucleotides) under Elaeis guineensis (African oil palm). RNAcentral describes it as "long non-coding RNA (EGUI_LNC024023)". Lineage: Eukaryota; Viridiplantae; Streptophyta; Magnoliopsida; Arecales; Arecaceae. The record is from RNAcentral.
CUCUCAUCAAGGAGGCCUUGAUCCUUGACCAAGGGUUCCCAUCGUCACAUCUCGGACCUGGCUGAAAUGACCUCUAAUUCAGUGGAGGGUUAAGCCUUCGAGAGUUGAGUUGUUUAACACAGAAUUGUAGGGAAGAAAAAAAUUUUAUUUAUAAAGUGUUCCUAUUGAUAAUACAUCCAGAGAUUCUCGACGUUCCAGGUUUGAGAAAUCUCUGUAUCGUCCAGGCUCUCGAUCUUGUAUGCUCC